GAUGAAGAACGUAGUGAAAUGCGAUAAGUAAUGUGAAUUGCAGAAUUCAGUGAAUCAUCGAAUCUUUGAACGCACAUUGCGCCCGCCAGUAUUCUGGCGGGCAUGCCUGUUCGAGCGUCAUUACAACCCUCAGGCCCCCGGGCCUGGCGUUGGGGAUCGGCGGAGCCCCCCGUGGGCACACGCCGUCCCCCAAAUGCAGUGGCGGUCCCGCCGCAGCUUCCAUCGCGUAGUAGCUAACACCUCGCGACUGGAGAGCGGCGCGGCCACGCCGUAAAACACCCAACUCUUCUGAAGUUGACCUCGUAUCAGGUAGGAAUACCCGCUGAACUUAAGCAUAUCAAUAAGCGGAGGA
Molecule: unclassified non-coding RNA, 352 nt
Filed under: soil metagenome
Description: partial contains 5.8S ribosomal RNA, internal transcribed spacer 2, and large subunit ribosomal RNA
Rfam family: 5.8S ribosomal RNA (bases 1-120)
Source: RNAcentral